This 367-nucleotide unclassified non-coding RNA is filed under the name air metagenome. Its description in RNAcentral is "partial contains small subunit ribosomal RNA, internal transcribed spacer 1, and 5.8S ribosomal RNA". The stretch from base 1 to 46 matches the Rfam family "Eukaryotic small subunit ribosomal RNA", at positions 1786 to 1831 of the family's 1831-position model. The record is from RNAcentral.
AAGUCGUAACAAGGUUUCCGUAGGUGAACCUGCGGAAGGAUCAUUAUUGAAUUAUGUUUUCUGGAUGGGUUGUAGCUGGUCCUUUGGGGCAUGUGCACGCUUGUCUGGACUUCAUUUUCAUCCACCUGUGCACCUAUUGUAGUCUUUGUCGGGAGCUAUUGAGGAAGUGGUCAGCCUAUCAGCAACUGCUGGAUGUGAGGACUUGCAGUGCGACAAGCAAUGCUGUCCUUUACUUGGCCAUGGAAUCUUUUACCGUCAGAGUCUAUGUCAUUCAUUAUACCCUGUAAAAUGUCAUUGAAUGUCUAUACAUGGGCUUUUGCCUAUGAAAAUUGUAAUACAACUUUCAGCAACGGAUCUCUUGGCUCUC